CCUACGGGUGGCUGCAGUGGGGAAUAUUGCACAAUGGGCGCAAGCCUGAUGCAGCCAUGCCGCGUGUGUGAAGAAGGCCUUCGGGUUGUAAAGCACUUUCAGCGGGGAGGAAGGCGGUGAGGUUAAUAGCCUCAUCGAUUGACGUUACCCGCAGAAGAAGCACCGGCUAACUCCGUGCCAGCAGCCGCGGUAAUACGGAGGGUGCAAGCGUUAAUCGGAAUUACUGGGCGUAAAGCGCACGCAGGCGGUCUGUCAAGUCGGAUGUGAAAUCCCCGGGCUCAACCUGGGAACUGCAUUCGAAACUGGCAGGCUAGAGUCUUGUAGAGGGGGGUAGAAUUCCAGGUGUAGCGGUGAAAUGCGUAGAGAUCUGGAGGAAUACCGGUGGCGAAGGCGGCCCCCUGGACAAAGGCUGACGCUCAGGUGCGAAAGCGUGGGGAGCAAACAGGAUUAGAUCCCGAGUAGUC
This 464-nucleotide ribosomal RNA is filed under the name uncultured Klebsiella sp. RNAcentral describes it as "bacterial SSU rRNA". It matches the Rfam family "Bacterial small subunit ribosomal RNA", at positions 338 to 795 of the family's 1533-position model. The record is from RNAcentral. Lineage: Bacteria; Pseudomonadati; Pseudomonadota; Gammaproteobacteria; Enterobacterales; Enterobacteriaceae.